Molecule: ribosomal RNA, 497 nt
Filed under: uncultured bacterium
Lineage: Bacteria
Description: partial 16S ribosomal RNA
Rfam family: Bacterial small subunit ribosomal RNA
Source: RNAcentral
GACGAACGCUGGCGGCGUGCCUAAUACAUGCAAGUUGAGCGCUGAAGGUUGGUACUUGUUCCAACUGGAUGAGCAGCGAACGGGUGAGUAACGCGUGGGGAAUCUGCCUUUGAGCGGGGGACAACAUUUGGAAACGAAUGCUAAUACCGCAUAAAAACUUUAAACACAAGUUUUAAGUUUGAAAGAUGCAAUUGCAUCACCUAAAGAUGAUCCCGCGUUGUAUUAGCUAGUUGGUGAGGUAAAGGCUCACCAAGGCGAUGAUACAUAGCCGACCUGAGAGGGUGAUCGGCCACAUUGGGACUGAGACACGGCCCAAGCUCCUACGGGAGGGAGCAGUAAGGGAUCUUCGGGAAUGGGCGAAAGUCUGACCGGGCAACGCCGGGGGGGUGAAGGAGGUUGUCGGAUCGUAAAACUCUGUUGGUAGAGAAGAACGUUGGUGGGAGUUGAAAGCUCAUCAAGUGACGGUAACUACCCAGAAAGGGACGGCUAACUACGUG